This 492-nucleotide ribosomal RNA is filed under the name uncultured bacterium. RNAcentral describes it as "partial 16S ribosomal RNA". It matches the Rfam family "Bacterial small subunit ribosomal RNA", at positions 29 to 507 of the family's 1533-position model. The record is from RNAcentral.
AGUGAACGCUGGCGGUAGGCCUAACACAUGCAAGUCGAACGGCAGCACAGUAAGAGCUUGCUCUUACGGGUGGCGAGUGGCGGACGGGUGAGGAAUACAUCGGAAUCUACUUUUUCGUGGGGGAUAACGUAGGGAAACUUACGCUAAUACCGCAUACGACCUACGGGUGAAAGCAGGGGAUCUUCGGACCUUGCGCGAUUGAAUGAACCGAUGUCGGAUUAGCUAGUUGGCGGGGUAAAGGCCCACCAAGGCGACGAUCCGUAGCUGGUCUGAGAGGAUGAUCAGCCACACUGGAACUGAGACACGGUCCAGACUCCUACGGGAGGCAGCAGUGGGGAAUAUUGGACAAUGGGCGCAAGCCUGAUCCAGCCAUACCGCGUGGGUGAAGAAGGCCUUCGGGUUGUAAAGCCUUUUUGUUGGGAAAGAAAAGCAGCAGGUUAAUACCCCGCUGUUCUGACGGUACCCAAAGAAUAAGCACCGGCUAACUUCGUG